Molecule: ribosomal RNA, 637 nt
Filed under: uncultured bacterium
Lineage: Bacteria
Description: bacterial SSU rRNA
Rfam family: Bacterial small subunit ribosomal RNA
Source: RNAcentral
GCUCAACCGGGGAGGGUCAUUGGAAACUGGGGAACUUGAGUGCAGAAGAGGAGAGUGGAAUUCCACGUGUAGCGGUGAAAUGCGUAGAGAUGUGGAGGAACACCAGUGGCGAAGGCGACUCUCUGGUCUGUAACUGACGCUGAGGCGCGAAAGCGUGGGGAGCGAACAGGAUUAGAUACCCUGGUAGUCCACGCCGUAAACGAUGAGUGCUAAGUGUUAGAGGGUUUCCGCCCUUUAGUGCUGCAGCAAACGCAUUAAGCACUCCGCCUGGGGAGUACGGUCGCAAGACUGAAACUCAAAGGAAUUGACGGGGGCCCGCACAAGCGGUGGAGCAUGUGGUUUAAUUCGAAGCAACGCGAAGAACCUUACCAGGUCUUGACAUCCUCUGACAACCCUAGAGAUAGGGCUUCCCCUUCGGGGGCAGAGUGACAGGUGGUGCAUGGUUGUCGUCAGCUCGCGUCGUGAGAUGUUGGGUUAAGUCCCGCAACGAGCGCAACCCUUGAUCUUAGUUGCCAGCAUUCAGUUGGGCACUCUAAGGUGACUGCCGGUGACAAACCGGAGGAAGGUGGGGAUGACGUCAAAUCAUCAUGCCCCUUAUGACCUGGGCUACACACGUGCUACAAUGGGCAGAACAAAG